UACGGAGGGGGCUAGCGUUGUUCGGAAUUACUGGGCGUAAAGCGCACGUAGGCGGCUUUACAAGUCAGGGGUGAAAGCCCGCGGCUCAACCGCGGAAUUGCCCUUGAGACUGUAUCGCUUGAACACGGGAGAGGUGAGUGGAAUUCCGAGUGUAGAGGUGAAAUUCGUAGAUAUUCGGAAGAACACCAGUGGCGAAGGCGGC
RNAcentral lists this ribosomal RNA (202 nucleotides) under uncultured bacterium. RNAcentral describes it as "partial 16S ribosomal RNA". It matches the Rfam family "Bacterial small subunit ribosomal RNA", at positions 524 to 725 of the family's 1533-position model. The record is from RNAcentral.